UACGAAGGGGGCUAGCGUUGUUCGGAAUUACUGGGCGUAAAGCGCACGUAGGCGGACUAUUAAGUCAGGGGUGAAAUCCUGGAGCUCAACUCCAGAACUGCCUUUGAUACUGGAAAGCUUGAGUUCGGGAGAGGUGAGUGGAACUGCGAGUGUAGAGGUGAAAUUCGUAGAUAUUCGCAAGAACACCAGUGGCGAAGGCGGCUCACUGGCCCGAUACUGACGCUGAGGUGCGAAAGCGUGGGGAGCAAACAGG
Molecule: ribosomal RNA, 253 nt
Filed under: uncultured bacterium
Lineage: Bacteria
Description: partial 16S ribosomal RNA
Rfam family: Bacterial small subunit ribosomal RNA
Source: RNAcentral